This 465-nucleotide ribosomal RNA is filed under the name Vreelandella stevensii. RNAcentral describes it as "partial 16S ribosomal RNA". It matches the Rfam family "Bacterial small subunit ribosomal RNA", at positions 338 to 795 of the family's 1533-position model. The record is from RNAcentral. Lineage: Bacteria; Pseudomonadati; Pseudomonadota; Gammaproteobacteria; Oceanospirillales; Halomonadaceae.
CCUACGGGAGGCAGCAGUGGGGAAUAUUGGACAAUGGGCGAAAGCCUGAUCCAGCCAUGCCGCGUGUGUGAAGAAGGCCUUCGGGUUGUAAAGCACUUUCAGUGGGGAAGAAAGCCUUGGGGCUAAUACCCUCGAGGAAGGACAUCACCCACAGAAGAAGCACCGGCUAACUCCGUGCCAGCAGCCGCGGUAAUACGGAGGGUGCGAGCGUUAAUCGGAAUUACUGGGCGUAAAGCGCGCGUAGGCGGUCUGAUAAGCCGGUUGUGAAAGCCCCGGGCUCAAACUGGGAACGGCAUCCGGAACUGUCAGGCUAGAGUGCAGGAGAGGAAGGUAGAAUUCCCGGUGUAGCGGUGAAAUGCGUAGAGAUCGGGAGGAAUACCAGUGGCGAAGGCGGCCUUCUGGACUGACACUGACGCUGAGGUGCGAAAGCGUGGGUAGCAAACAGGAUUAGAUACCCCAGUAGUC